Molecule: long non-coding RNA, 2199 nt
Filed under: Brassica napus (rape)
Lineage: Eukaryota; Viridiplantae; Streptophyta; Magnoliopsida; Brassicales; Brassicaceae
Description: long non-coding RNA (BNAP_LNC008069)
Source: RNAcentral
UGAUCUUGGCCGUUUGGACGGAAUGCAAGUUGUGAUAUCAUCGGUCUCAUCAAACUCAUCAGCAGGGAGCUCAAGAUCAAUCAUUUUUCUCCUACUUUGCAAAGGACCGUUGCAAGCCUGAGAGGUGCUUCCUUCUCCAUUCGAAUUAUUUCCCUUAACUUCAUCCACCAAGUUCCUCUGUACUCUAUACAAACGGUGAAGUUCAUGAACCUGCUGCCAUCAAUAACAAAAGUCAAAACCUCUAGACACGUAAAACGAAACCAUAAGAAGAUAAAAGUAGUAAGUAGAUAGAGAGAGAGAGAGACCUGAUUCUUGAAAACGGCGUCGUGUUCAAGCAUUGUAUGUUUCAUGAAGUCUCUCUCGUAUAUCAUAUCCACAGCGAACACACAACAGACCAACUGCAAUUUAUUAAAUGUAAAAACUCAAUUACAAUCAGAGAUCAUUAUAUUAUAGUAUCAUUAUGUAUCAAAUGUUAAUGUAGCAUCUCAAAGCCAGAUUCAUCUUUUUGACAAAUCCGAAUCAUCAUUGAUAAAAACCCCAGGUUGCGAGCCCCCUCCUCCUUCUUCUUCACUCUCGAGAGCGGGAGGAGCCUCCAAAUCUAUCCACAUAUUUCCUUUUGUUUUCACUCUCAGACUGGAACGCAAGCCGGAAUCUUCAUCAUCUUCACUAGCACAUGAAUUCAGAUCAAAGUAGUGUCUGUUGAUGGCAGCUUUGUUUCCUUCUUCCUUUACAGCACAAAAGGCUUUAGAACCACGCUGGUCAACAGAAACUGAGGCAUCACAUGGCAAGUUGAUGUCGAAGUCCCGCUUCACUUCCUUAUGUUGAUCAGCGACACACAAGGAGUGAGAGAUAAAUGGAGCAUGCUCCUCCUUGCAAAUAGAAUGCUUCUGAAAGACUGGGCCCCCAAUAUUUUUUCCACUAUUCUGUGGGUUGAUCAAUUCAAUUCUUCCCAUGUUGGCAUUAUAAGAGCAUGAGGCAGAUGACCUAAAUCCCGUCUGAAGAGAAACACCAUUCCUACCGUCCCCUGCGUCAGUUCCAUCCAUGAAUUGAUCGGUCGAAGCAUUCAAAUCAAAUAAGCCACUGGAUCUUUCACUUUUGUAAGAUGGCUUAGGUUUUAGCCAGGGCAACAUAGCUGAGGAUUCCUGCGUUUUUAGCCCCUGAAAGCUUUCAGAACUCUGGUGCUUCACCACCUCACCUAAAGAAGCAUUUGGUCUAAAGCCUCCUGAUGGGAAACUAACGGCAGCCUCCUUCGACCCUGAAGAGAAUCCAUGAUAAACCCCGUUAGUGACAGGGCUUCUCGUAUCAAAACUUGUAUCUGUCCUUGUGCGCGCAACAAAGUUCAUGUAGGGAUUCGUUUGAACUGGGAAAAAUCUCUGAUGUGAGGUGCUCCUAGGGUUCUCCCACGAUGAAGACCAAUGGCUCCAUGGUCUGACAAAGUCAGGGCGGUAGUCAUUGUGUAAUCUUGGAGCAUUAGAUGCCGGAAAUGAUUCCACGUAGCUAUCAUAAGACGCUUGAGGAUUCUUUGAGCGAACUUCGAGCUCACGAUAUGCUCUUUCCCGGGAGAAUACUACAUUGCUGUGAUCAGUCGUGAGAUAGCUCUGAGGUUGAACAGCACUGUUGGAACGUACUUGUACAGAAUGGGAAGGCAAAUGCAAGUCUCUCUGAGUGCUCCUGUCGUGCCCUAUAAACACACCACCACAUGAAAACAUUCGAGAAACAGAAGAUAAGCAAAAUAGUUUUAUAUCAUUUAAAAAAAAAAAGAGAAAUCAAAUGAAAGUGAAGAGCAUGUAACCUGCGCCAAGGACCAUCCGUCCAUUUUGGCUUGUGUUUCUUCCAUAAUGAGAAUACACGUCCCUGGAGAGAGCAGCAGCAGGUUCCGCAUCUUGCCAAUUGAGUGGCUCAUUCAAGUCAGCUAAACCAUUUGAGUUCUUCACAUCCAAGCAAGACCCUGAAGAGUUGCUCCGAUGAGAACCAUCAUCUCUUCCUGAUCUUGGCCGUUUGGACGGAAUGCAAGUUGUGAUAUCAUCGGUCUCAUCAAACUCAUCAGCAGGGAGCUCAAGAUCAAUCAUUUUUCUCCUACUUUGCAAAGGACCGUUGCAAGCCUGAGAGGUGCUUCCUUCUCCAUUCGAAUUAUUUCCCUUAACUUCAUCCACCAAGUUCCUCUGUACUCUAUACAAACGGUGAAGUUCAUGAACCUGC